GCUCUUCCCAUCUCAAAUACUCCUGAACAAACUGUUGUCUGCCUGCCAAGAUCUCCUUAUCCUAGUGUGGGAAUGCUGGUCUCCAUAUGACUCAGCAACUCUUUGCUCCUACUGUGUACU
This is a long non-coding RNA of Otolemur garnettii (small-eared galago), 120 nucleotides long. RefSeq lists it as uncharacterized. The record is from RefSeq and is a predicted model, not a curated record. The transcript is spliced from 3 exons. Lineage: Eukaryota; Metazoa; Chordata; Mammalia; Primates; Galagidae.